CACACCGCCCGUCACACCAUGGGAUUUGGAUUCACCCGAAGGCAGUGCGCUAACCGCAAGGAGGCAGCUGACCACGGUGGGUUUAGAGACUGGGGUG
Molecule: ribosomal RNA, 97 nt
Filed under: uncultured bacterium
Lineage: Bacteria
Description: partial 16S ribosomal RNA
Rfam family: Bacterial small subunit ribosomal RNA
Source: RNAcentral